Molecule: long non-coding RNA, 219 nt
Filed under: Theobroma cacao (cacao)
Lineage: Eukaryota; Viridiplantae; Streptophyta; Magnoliopsida; Malvales; Malvaceae
Description: long non-coding RNA (TCAC_LNC000842)
Source: RNAcentral
UCUGGACAAUCGCUUAAUUGCGGUGUCCGACCUAACUCGCCUAUACACGGUGUAAAUUCCUAAAAUCCCCAAUUCAACUCCAAUUCCAUCCAUUUCAAUUUCAAUUAUCCAAUUAUAUCCACAAUACCUCAAUGACUGUGAAUUUGGUCCAAUUUAUCAGUCCGAACUAUAAAUUACGCUUUUACCCCUAGUGGGUAAAAAUUUCAAUUUAUUGCACCG